CCCUUAGACACUCUAGGCGGCACGCGCGCUACAAUGGGUGGAAGACUGUGUUGCUGCCCUCGAAAGAGGGGGUGAAUCACGAAUUCUCACCCGUGAAUGGGAUAGUUUGUUGCAAUUUUCGGACUUGAACUAGGAAUCCCUUGUAAGCAUGCUCAAGAAUAGUGUGCUGAAUACGUCCCUGCCGUUUGUACACACCGCCCGUCGUUUCUUCCGACUGAUACGAAUUGUGAGUUGCAAGGACCUUCAGGGGGAAUUGCCGCGAAUGCUUCGUAUUGGAGGAAGAAAAAGUCGUAACA
Molecule: ribosomal RNA, 296 nt
Filed under: uncultured eukaryote
Lineage: Eukaryota
Description: partial 18S ribosomal RNA
Rfam family: Eukaryotic small subunit ribosomal RNA
Source: RNAcentral